This 237-nucleotide ribosomal RNA is filed under the name Triticum aestivum (bread wheat). RNAcentral describes it as "partial small subunit ribosomal RNA". Lineage: Eukaryota; Viridiplantae; Streptophyta; Magnoliopsida; Poales; Poaceae. The record is from RNAcentral.
GGGCAAUGUAAGGUUAAUUGGAAGACAGUUUGCAGACCAAAGAGGCUUGGCGGAUUGGGUGUUCUAGACCUUCACAUGUAUGCGAGAGCUUUGCGGCUAAGAUGGAUGUGGUAUGAAUGGAAGGAACCCGGUAGAGCAUGGGUGGGCAUGGGAAACCCAUGUGAUUCCAUGGACAGAGAGCUUUUCUACGCUGCUACGACUAUCACCAUGGGAGACGGGUGGACGACAUGCUUCUGA